Molecule: ribosomal RNA, 203 nt
Filed under: Bacillus anthracis (anthrax bacterium)
Lineage: Bacteria; Bacillati; Bacillota; Bacilli; Caryophanales; Bacillaceae
Description: partial 16S ribosomal RNA
Rfam family: Bacterial small subunit ribosomal RNA
Source: RNAcentral
AUGAAGUUAGCGGCGGACGGGUGAGUAACACGUGGGUAACCUGCCCAUAAGACUGGGAUAACUCCGGGAAACCGGGGCUAAUACCGGAUAACAUUUUGAACUGCAUGGUUCAAAAUUGAAAGGCGGCUUCGGCUGUCACUUAUGGAUGGACCCGCGUCGCAUUAGCUAGUUGGUGAGGUAACGGCUCACCAAGGCAACGAUGC